This 654-nucleotide ribosomal RNA is filed under the name uncultured archaeon. RNAcentral's name for it is "bacterial SSU rRNA". It matches the Rfam family "Archaeal small subunit ribosomal RNA", at positions 508 to 1160 of the family's 1478-position model. The record is from RNAcentral.
GCCUAAAGCGUCCGUAGCCGGCUCUGUAAGUUUUCGGUUAAAUCCAUAUGCUCAACAUAUGGGCCGCCGGGAAUACUGCAUAGCUAGGGAGUGGGAGAGGUAGACGGUACUCCGUAGGAAGGGGUAAAAUCCUUUGAUCUAUGGAUGACCACCUGUGGCGAAGGCGGUCUACCAGAACACGUUCGACGGUGAGGGAUGAAAGCUGGGGGAGCAAACCGGAUUAGAUACCCGGGUAGUCCCAGCUGUAAACGAUGCAAACUCAGUGAUGCAUUGGCUUGUGGCCAGUGCAGUGCCGCAGAGAAGUCGUUAAGUUUGCCGCCUGGGAAGUACGUACGCAAGUAUGAAACUUAAAGGAAUUGGCGGGGGAGCACCACAAGGGGUGAAGCCUGCGGUUCAAUUGGAGUCAACGCCAGAAAUCUUACCCGGAGAGACAGCAGAAUGAAGGUCAAGUUGAAGCCUUUACCAGACAAGCUGAGAAGUGGUGCAUGGCCGUCGCCAGCUCGUGCCGUGAGGUGUCCUGUUAAGUCAGGUAACGAGCGAGAUCCUUGCCUCUAGUUGCUACCAUUACUCUCAGGAGUAGUGGAGCGAAUUAGCGGGACUGCCGUAGUUAAUACGGAGGAAGGAGAGGGCCACGGCAGGUCAGUAUGCCCCGAA